AGUCGAACGGAGAUUACAGGCGGAAGUUUUCGGAUGGAAGCUUGUAAACUUAGUGGCGGACGGGUGAGUAACACGUGAGCAACCUGCCUAUCAGAGGGGGAUAACGAUUGGAAACGAUCGCUAAUACCGCAUGACAUAGCGGAACCGCAUGGUUUUGCUAUCAAAGAUUUUAUCGCUGAUAGAUGGGCUCGCGUCCGAUUAGAUAGUUGGUGGGGUAACGGCCUACCAAGUCGACGAUCGGUAGCCGGACUGAGAGGUCGAACGGCCACAUUGGGACUGAGACACGGCCCAGACUCCUACGGGAGGCAGCAGUGGGGGAUAUUGCACAAUGGGGGAAACCCCGAUGCAGCGACGCCGCGUGAGGGAAGACGGUCCUCUGGAUUGUAAACCUCUGUCUUCGGGGACGAAACGAGACGGUACCCGAGGAGGAAGCCACGGCUAACUACGUGCCAGCAGCCGCGGUAAUACGUAGGUGGCAAGCGUUGUCCGGAAUUACUGGGUGUAAAGGGAGCGUAGGCGGGCAGGCAAGUCAGGCGUGAAAUAUAUCGGCUCAACCGGUAACGGCGCUUGAAACUGCAGGUCUUGAGUGAAGUAGAGGUUGGCGGAAUUCCUAGUGUAGCGGUGAAAUGCGUAGAUAUUAGGAGGAACACCAGUGGCGAAGGCGGCCAACUGGGCUUUUACUGACGCUGAGGCUCGAA
This 698-nucleotide ribosomal RNA is filed under the name uncultured bacterium. Its description in RNAcentral is "bacterial SSU rRNA". It matches the Rfam family "Bacterial small subunit ribosomal RNA", at positions 60 to 757 of the family's 1533-position model. The record is from RNAcentral.